Long non-coding RNA from Ailuropoda melanoleuca (giant panda), 5990 nucleotides. RefSeq lists it as uncharacterized. NCBI's taxonomy places the organism in Eukaryota, Metazoa, Chordata, Mammalia, Carnivora, Ursidae. The transcript has 3 exons. The record is from RefSeq and is a predicted model, not a curated record.
UGCACAGUACAAUUAACCCCCCCUUUUUUUGUUCUAUGGAUUUCUUUUAAAAUACUAAACCCUAGCUAGUGCACUUGAAAUAAAAAAAAACAAAAAACAAAGAACAAUAAUUAAAUGUGUUAACUACUUGAGGAAAUGUUGUGACCUUUAAUGGACCCUGGACGUUGCUUUUCAGGAACUGUAUCCCUUGGUUUCUUGUUUUGGGGGGUACAGUAGUUUGCAAGGAAUCCUUUGGUUUAUAUACUUGACAGCCGAAUAAAAGGCAAAGGGCUUCUUGCUUUGUACUGUGCAGGAAAUUACCAUUUCUGUUGUCUGUGCAGGACGUUCUAAAGAUGCAGCCAGGGAGUCUCAGAGGGGAGAGAGAGAGAGACUCGCAGUUCUAAUCUUUUCUUGCUUUUGCCUCUGGUCAUAAGAUGGAUUGUUUUUCUGCUUUUGUUCCUUGGGGUGGCAUCUGUCUUCAGGAGAAAUCACUUCACAGUCAAACACAGAUUGCUGAACUGUGGCAUUUUUGCUGUUACUGUUAGGCUGAAUUCACUGGGAACCGUUUUAAUAUAGGUGCAUUUAAACACUUGCUCCUUAUGAAUGGGGAGAGAUGGAGAGCGAAAUCUCAUUCUUCAUUGAAUGCUCCAUCUCCUGCCCAUCACCUUUCAAGAACACAAUUCUGCCCUAGCACAUGGCUUUUCACUAACGCCCGAAUAUUUAUGCUAAUCUGAAAGAUCCCCAGCAUCGGGGACUAUACACUUACCCACUUUCUGCAGAGAGACACUUAGGAAAUUGAUGAUUUCUUGACACUUUCCAGUUUAUGAUUGUACCUUUCCAAGUUAGUACUGAUUUUGACUUAUUCCAAAUAAUUAUACUUUGGUGUAUACUUCUAGUGUUUCACUUAUUUAAGUAAUUUCACAUUUUAGGACUUUGUGGCUUUAAAUUUAAAGAGAUGCAAGUUUUUAACAUAUUAUGGAAACUGCCCUAAUAAUGCUGUUACUAUAACAAUAAUAAUAGUAAUAAGAAAAAUGAUAAAGUAAAUAAUUUCAGGAAUAGAAAAGAAUACUUAACCAGGAACGUGGAGACAGAACAUUUUAAUGUAGUAGAUCAUCUCUUUUCUUGAGAUGCUGUUUGAACAGUUACUGGCAAGAGUUUGAACAUUAAAUGUAUUUGUGACUAAAUACCUUCCCAAGAAUGCAGCCUAACUGCCACAACCUCACUGGGGUCUCAUCGUAUAGAACCAGACUUAAAUGAUGGCUGGAAGAGACAGGGCAUAAUAAGAUUGGCCAAAUUUAUAUUUAUUGAAAGAUAGAGCAUGAAAAGAUUUGGAGCUUUACAGUAGUUCAAGGAAGUAGGAUUUAUAAAAAACUGUGAUGAGUGACUCCCCCCCCCCCAUGACAUGGGUAGAUUUUGAUUUAAAAACAUCCAAGGGACCAGCAAGCUGUACCCUGGGGAGAGGAAUGUGCAAGGAAGGAAGGCAGCUGAUGAAAUAGAACUUUAGAAAGUUACUGUGGAAGGCUUGGAACUGGGAAUUGAAAAAAGAAAUUAAAAAACUGUCAAGAAAGAAAAUAUUUUUAUAGACGUUUGUCAAUUUUUAUUUCUGCAAAUAUUGAUAAUAACACAGGGAUGGAAAAAAUGGUCCUCUGGCUAAGAAUGAGUUUUACAUUUUUUUUUUUUUACAUUUUUAAAUGGAAAAAAAUAAAAACCAUAAUAUUUUAUGACCCAUGAGAAUUAUAUGAAAUGGACAUUUAUGGAUCCAUAAAUAAAGUUUCCCUGGGACACAACCACACCCAUACGUUUAGUAGCAUCUGUGUAGUAUGUGUGUCUGCACCACUUGGGCCACAAUGACACGGGUGAGUAAUUGCGAAGAGACUGGGAUAAAGACUAAAGUGUUUGCUUCCUGGCCCUUUCCAGAACAGGUUCACUAUAAUAAAGGAUUGCCUGCAGAAUGUUAGAGUGAACACUGUAGACUUUUUGCUAAGGUCAGCUCUGAGUAUUGCCUGAAAUAAUACCUUUUCUGGUAAAUUUGUAUAGGAGAUGUGGCAAUAUUGAAGAGGCAGAUUUGAUUUUAAGGCCUUGAUCAUCUUCAGUUCAAGAUAAUCCACAUGUCAAAGUGAUACAUUUUGGGGAGGCUCAUUCUGAACCCUUUCACUUGUUUUGAGUGAGAAAAAGGUGGUAAUUAGUUGGAAUUGUGAUUGGAAACAUAGGCUAAGAACUCUGACUUAAAAUGAUUUGUGUUUAAAUAUAUAGUACAAAUUUGUGAUGUAAGAAGUAAAACUAACUCUGUUGGUCUUGUGAAAAUGAAAGUGGACAUGAUAGGUAGCAAAGAUGUUUGACAUUUGAGCUUGAUUUUUGUUUGUUUGUUUUGUUUUUGAGAUUUUAUAGCUGGUCAGUUCAUUCGGAGAAUGUGGAAAAAAAACCCUGAACACUUCCCAUUAGUGAGCAUGUUGUUAGGUUCUCAACAAAACAAUUUCUGCAGUCAUUUAUUCUGUGCCAGUAUCAGCCAAAAUCACUUAGAGGUAUUGUUGGGGAGGAAGAAUUUCUUCUGCCCUUCAAGGUCCUUGUAGCUGGACUAAGAAUCAAGUUGACAUGAGACAGAUUAACAGGAGGAAUAAAAUUUAAUAGCGUAUGUAUGGGAAAUGCACAUAGAUGUGAAAUUCCAAAGACAAUGAGGCUUAUUUGAGCUAGGGAGAGGAGUAGGACCUGAGGGCACAAAAGGGAGAAAAUGCAUUAAUAGGAAGGCGAGGAGACGUUUUAGAACACAAAGGUGUUGCCCUAUUGCUCAGAUUGCAAAGAGGAAUCUUUGUCAGUAGCCUUCAUGCUGGUAAAACAGACAGUUGAGGGGCGGGUAUAGAGCUUUUCCUGAAUAUGCUGGGUUUGGAUUACUUUUAACUCAAAAUAAUGUUCAUGCCAAAGUACACCAGCUUGGGCAGCCUGCCUUUGGCCUCUACAGUAUGAAUAGUACUAUGAUAGUUACCUUUACAAGGAUAGUUGACAUUAGGUCUUUACAUGACCCUUUCUUUCUUUCUUUUUUUUUUUUUAAAGGAGUACCAAAGUGUGUUACAAAUCAAUUUUGCUUUUCUUUGCAAUUAUUUUAAUUUAGGCUUUUGUUAGCGGUUGACUUUCCUUCCCUUUUCAUUGAGAUGGUUUCCUUUGCAUGUUCUUUCCAGUCUUAACCUUAUUUUUCAGCCCCAGCUAAGCAUAAAAAGGACGAUCUUUCUUCUAGCCCGUUCCCUGAAAUUAAUUGUGCUAAAUUACCAGCUUCUUAGAUAUCAAGCAGUACUCAUGCUAAAGGCAUUUAUUAAGUGUCCAUAUGUGCUUGCUGGUAUGCUGUUAUAGUAAUAAAGUAGGAACUCUUGGGACUCACGUCUAUUAAGUGCUUUUAAAGUGCCAGGUAACACUAAUGCAAAUCAUAUUAUCAAAGGCGUUCAUAUAAAUAGUGUCCCUCUGCCCCCAUCCCACCAAGCUAAGUGCCUUAAAUGCCUUAAGAUUGCAUCCCCAUAGGAGGAGGGUGGAGUGUUUAGUUUUUGUUUGGGUCUGGUUUAGAUGAAGAAAUGUAAGUUAUACAGUUCUCCAGAGGUCCAUUUAUAGACCAGUCUUACUUAAAAUGUACAUAAAAUAUUUGGGAAUACUCUCCCAGUAGUGAAAUGCCUAAGACUGUGAUUGUCUGAAUAAGGAAUAGUGGCAAAAGAGCUAUGGUGCGCAAGUUUAAAAUAAUGUGCUUGGGGAAAAUAUUCUAGUUACACUUGUAGGAUUAUGGUUCUCAAGCUAUUGCUCGGGGAGAGAAUUGAAAAGUUGUUUAUUAUUACUGCAGAUAGCAGAUUGAUGUGCUGUGACCAAAAGACUAGUUCUGGAUUCCAAAAGAAAGGUUAUUGGAAACACAGAAAAUAUUUUUCUACUCUUACACACCAAAAAGAUCUCUGUAUGUUAUACAUAGAUUUGGAUACAUUGCUUCAGCAGAGAAAGAAGUUCCAGAAGAGGGACGAUUAAGGACCAGAAAGACAAAAUAAUUGCAACACUUCAGUCUGGAUUAUUAUAAAUAUUUUGUAUGUUUAGUUAUCAUUCAAGCAGUUAUUUACUGAGGAACAACUGUGUUCUAGGCCUUGUGCUGGGCUCACAGAAAUUUUCUUUGUCGCCUUUGUCAAACAGGAUACUACUGGUCUGUGCGAACUGUGUCUCGCUAAUUGUUUUUCUUCUGUUAUGGGAAAACAAAAGAACAAAGAAACACAGCACAAUAAAACCUUGAGAUUGUAUAUGAUCACAGGUUAUAAAAUCUUGAAUAGGUGGAAUAAAGAGAUGCAGAGUUUUGUUUUUUGUUUUGGUUUUUAUCAACAUUUGGGACAAAGGGUAGAGUAGGGUUUGAGAAAUGGGGUUCUAGAGCCAGACUAUCUGCAUUUGAGCCUUGGGCUCCCUACCUCUGUGUGUCUUGGUUGCCUCAUCUAUAAACUGGGCUGUUCUGAGAAUAAUGUAUGCGAAGUGUUGAGAACUGUUCCUGAACCGCAGUAAGGGCUCAGUAAAUGGUAGCUAUUAAUCUGAAGAACACUAGAACUUCUUAAGGAUUUGGAGAACUAGAUAUGGGACAAAUGAAAAUUAAUGAGCACCCCCACAAUUAAUCAGCGUUUCCUUAAACACAUUUACUGGCAAGCUGAAGAUCAGAUCCAGGGGAGAAUGCCUUCCAGUAGAAUGUAAAUAUUCAUGUUUUUAGAAUCCUGGGAUGUGAUUAUGGUGCUUGAGACUUAUUAAAAGGGGGUUUAAGGGUUGUUCGAAUAACAGAAGAUUGGCUUCCUGAAUGUGGAAGAGUAUUCCAGGAGCCAGGAUUAGUUUAAGAGGAGAGUUCAGAGCUGGGAAGGGAAGCACAGAAGAGAGGAUGUUCAGUCAGUUUGGAUGGGUCUAGAUUAGUGUUCCUCAAAUGUGCCCACGUUUGUCUCUCAGGAGACGCUGGACUGUCUGGAGACUUGUUUUAUUGCAUUGCCCCGAGCUGGGGGAGAAGGGCGCCACUGGCAUCUAGUGCUUAGAGGUAUGGGGUACAGCCAAACAUCCCACCAUGCACACGAGGUUCCCAUAGCAAAGAUUUCCCAUAAUGUCAGUAGUGUUGAGGUUAAGAAACAAUUUGGUCUAGCACAAAGUGUAAUAACGGCCACUGGUAAUAGAAAUCUGCAUUUAUAAUCUUAUCUUCUCCCCUUCCUCCGUCAACCAAAUAUGAACACAGGUAUAGCCCAGGUUAAUCUAAUUCACCAUGAUGCAUACAAACACCUCCUUAAACUGACCGGCUACUGUCAAUGUUAUCUUUUUUUUUUCAAUAGAUCGCUUUAUUCCCAAUGGAAGAAAAUAACAAUAAAUUUAGAUUAAGUAUAUCACGGAUCUAAUCCCAGGUUUUCCAUUAAUUUCCCAUGUGACAUCAAGAAAAUUAUCUUGCUUUUCUGAGCUCCCCUCCACCCCCCGGCCCGGUUUUUUUCACCUAUAAAAUGAGUGUAAUAAUAGUUACAUCCAGAGUUGAUACAGGGAUUCAGUGAGUCAGGGGUAGAAACUCAAAUGGAAACGGAUUGGCCACAGUGGUGGGGGAUCCCUGGAAAAGGCCUCACAAGAAGGGUUUUGUUAGCGUAGUUUAUAUGCCAAAGUACAAGGUUUAGUCUCCAGCCUGACAGGUUCAGAACCCCGUUUAUCAGUACAUGUCUUUAGAUAGGAUUCUUAUAAACCACACUCAAAAAUGCCAGUUCGUAGGUUCAAAUUGUUUUCAUUGCUUGGAUCUUCCUUAGUCUUCCUGACCUCUAAAUGUUCGAGUGCCCAGGGCUCACAAUCAAACCUUUUCUCUCUUCUUCCCACUCUCCUUCCCUGGGUACAUUCCUGGCCACAAAUACUAUCUGCAAUUUAACUCUCAAGUUUAUUAUCCUGCUCUGUCUUCUCCUUUGAUUUCAACUUUUUGGUUUGUUUUUUGUUUGUUUUUUAACAGCUAGUAACUAAUGUUACGAAAUUUCUAUAAUGCCAGAUGCCUGGCUAAGUGUUCUGCA